This 251-nucleotide long non-coding RNA is filed under the name Carica papaya (papaya). Its description in RNAcentral is "long non-coding RNA (CPAP_LNC001876)". The record is from RNAcentral. Lineage: Eukaryota; Viridiplantae; Streptophyta; Magnoliopsida; Brassicales; Caricaceae.
UCAACAAAAUACACUUUCAAGGCCUCAAAAGAUUCUUCUUAGGGUUUCUACUGGUUUUGCUUUGUAUCUAGAUUCGGGCUUGGGUCCUAUUCUGGGUCCUGAUCUGUAAGAGGAGCAUGGAUUGGGGUGAGUUGCACAUAUUCAGUAAGAACAAUCAAGUAUUGUAGUAGUACAUACAAGAUGUUAAAACAUUCAUAAUGUACGAAGCGAAAUACAUUUAAUUGAAAAUAAACAUAUCAUUUUGAAAUACU